RNAcentral lists this unclassified non-coding RNA (3560 nucleotides) under Hevea brasiliensis (rubber tree). Lineage: Eukaryota; Viridiplantae; Streptophyta; Magnoliopsida; Malpighiales; Euphorbiaceae. The record is from RNAcentral.
AAAAUUAAAAAAAAUAAUAAUAAUGAAAUAAAAUUAUGACAUUGUUAUCUUACUCAUCGAGGAACUGCAAACUAUCAUAUCUCAGCUUGAAGCAUCAGGAAUAAAAGAAAAUUAAGAACUCCAUGGUAUGCCGAUAAUUUUAAGGGGGCACAUUAGUUGUGGGUACACAACCUAAACCCAAGUUCUAUGUAGCUGCCUACACGAGUGAAAGCCCGUCGAGUAGAUCUCUAUAAGAAGCACUCGCCUGCUCAACAUAGUUUAUCACAAACAAAUCAUUAUAACAUUCUGACUCUAAUUUCUGAUUCCCCAACACAUAAAGAUGUUCGGCAAUUGAGAUUGAUACUUAAAGCUACUCUAGCCAGUUUCUUCCCUUGGGAUGGUCUGCACAUGAACGCUUUCCGCAAUAUGAGAAGACUGAUGCUUAAGCUUAUGCUACACCAGCUAAAUUUCGCUCUACCGGUGUAUAAUCCACCGAGGGACAUAUUCAAGAGAUGAAAUCACUAUUCUGGGGGGAGAAGAGCUAUCUCGAUCUCUUGAAGUGAUUUUCCUUUCGUUUCCAUAACAUUCCCUUUUACAAAAACCACUGCAAUCAUGCAAAAUGUGGCAAAUAUAGUGUACAAGAGCUGUGGUCCGAGUUGCUCCAGCAAAUGCAAAAAUAGCAAGCCCACAAAGAAAUUGAUCACCCAGUGCACUGACAUACAGAUUGCCAUAGCUUUUGCCCUGAUUCGACUGGGGAAUAUCUCUGGCAGAAGGAGACCUGGAACUGGACCAGCUCCUAAAGCAAAUGUGAAGACAAACCUGCACAGAGGUUCUCAGUUUAUGCGUUCACAUUCUGACAUUGUAAAUUCAGAAAUCUACACUUUGACAUCUGUUGCCCCCUGCUAACAUCUUAUAUCAGUUUAAUUUUGAGUUUUUCUAAGUGGCUGCCAAAAAGAAUCAAGUAUGAUAAUUUUCCAGUCAAAGACCUAUCCAAUUCAUUGAUCCCCUUGUAAUUAGAUUUACAGAGCUCCAACAAGAAGAGCAACUCUUGGAUGCGAUGGCUAGCAAUGCGCGCGACUAGCAAUCGAUCAUCAUUAUAAGAGUUAAUUCAUGCAUCUAUCUAGUUUAUAUUUUUGGGCAAGGAUCAUUCAUUUAGGACAAAAGAAAAAUGAACAAAUUACAUUACAAGGGAAAACUUCUACGAAAAAAAAGAAAAAAGAGUCAUCAUGCUACAACCUAGCUUUUUUUCACUCGGCAUCCCUCAAUUUUGAGGGUUGUUUUAUAAUUGUCCCUUAACUUCAAUUUGUAUCAUAAAAAUACUCAAAUUUCAAUUUAGUACCACCCGAAAUCCUUCCGACCAAAUUCUGUUGAGUACUUCAGUCAAAAGCUGAUCUGGACAUACCUUAGACAACAAAAAAAAAAUAUCUCUUUGCCUCCAGAGAGAACAGUAUCUCUCCCUCAUCUCCUAUAGAUAAAUCAUUUCUCUCAAUUUUUUUCUCUCAUCACAUACUGUUCUCUCUAGGUGGUAGAGAGAGAUAUAUUUUAUUGUGUCAAUAUCCAUAUUAGCUUAUUGUGUAUAAUGUCCAUGUUAGCUUCUAUUCGAAGUAUCUAAUGAAAUCUGACUAGAGGGAUUUUGAGUAGCAUUAAAUUGAAGUUUAACUAUUUUUGUGAUAAAAUUAAAAUUAAGGGAUGAUAAUGAAAUAAUUUCAAAAUUGAAUGACGAUGGGUGAAAUUAAGCCCUGCAGCCCUAGGGUAUCCUUUGGUGGGUUGGCUAAAAAUGAAUCUGCACAUGAUUAGCAACCAGCAGCCUACAUAGUACAUGCAAGUUGCACUUAACAGCAGCAGGAGCCCGUCGUUAUAUUUUAAUAUGAUAUGUAUUACAAGAAAUAACAUAAUAUAAUUUAUCUUUAACGGUUACAAGAAAAAACAAUACUCACAUAAGCAUGCCACCAACAGACAGGUACAAAGCUCCAGAUCCUGACACAUAAGAACUUGCUCCAGCAACUUGAAAGCCCAUGGAUACCGCCUGCAUGGAGAAAACGCACCAUAUAAAGAUAAGGCUUCUAAGAUGAUCAUGGAUUCAUAGGCUACAUUGAUUUCACAUGAAAGAUAAAAUUACAGAGGAACAGCCAAUUGCAAUAGGAGCAACAAUCGUUGAGGUUCCCUAUACACAUAUUUAUUGACACGUAUCUAUACAAAAAUUGUGUCACUAAAACUAUUUAUCCAAAAUUUUCUAGUUUUGAUUCUGAUGUCAAAGUUUCAAAAUGUGAAGGUUUCUCUUUCUUAAAAAUCAAAUCCUUACUCUGGACAGAUUUUAUCCACCAAUACAGUGACUUAUCAUGCUCCACAAUAAAUGGCCAAAUGACAUAAGAAAGCCAAACUUUUUUGUGAAUUUGUGAUUUAAUUCAAUUCUUUUAAUUUUGAUAAUUUAAGCCCAAUUGUUAAAAUUAAUGGCAAUUUUAUCUAAAUGAUCAAAUUGAUCAAAAUUGAAAUUAAAAAAAAUAAUAUUUUAUAAAAAUUAAAGAAGAAAUUUAAUGAUCAAGACAGGAACAAGAGAGAGAAAAAAAUAAAUUAAAAAAAUGAUGAAUAAAAUAUUAUCUUUAGUUUCAAGUUUGACUAAUUUGGUUAGUUGCACAACAAUCAAUUAUAGCAAUUGAGCCUAAAUUGUCAAAAUUAAAAGAUUUAAAUUAAAUGCAAAUUCGCACAAAAGUUUGGCUUUUUAGUAUAAUUAGGUCACAAGUUGCAUAGAUUAUAUUAGAACUUGUGAGGUAAGGAUGCUGGGAAGUGUGGAGAAGGCCACAGGAAACUGCAGCGAUGAUGAAAUAAUGUUGCAGGAAAGCAUGGUGCUACUGAGUGAUUCAAAUGACGUACUUUAUGUUCCGUUGCGGAUAAAGUAGGUUUUUCCUUUUGCACUCCAGAUGUUUUCCGUUACACAAGCAGCUAGAUAUUCAUAAAGGCAACACUAUUUACACAUGAAACUUCCCAUGGAAACGAUUAAAACCUACCAUUCCAAAGAAGCUCCCCAGAAGCAACACUUUCCUUCCUAGUUUAUCCAUCAACACCAUUGCGGCAACAGAUGCUGAUAGAUUUGCAAGUCCGACAAAGACAUUUGCUAGGUCUGAAGGUACUCCCGCACUUUUAAACACAGUUGAAGAGAAAUAAAACACAGCAUUUAUACCAGAUAGCUGUUGUAAAGCAAAUAGGGUUGAUCCAAUAAAAACAACUGCAAAAGGAACACGUAAAUAACAAAGCCUAACAGACAAAAGGAAAGAAAAGUAGAAAACGAGGAAGUGACUGCCCAACAAAAUGCUAAACAAACACACAAUGCUAUCAGUAGGUAAACAUCCAUUGGGUUGGUUCAAUUCAGUUUGAAAAGUUAUUAAACCAAAUAAACUAAAUUUAAUAGGAGCUUCCUUUCAAAAAAAAUUAAUAGGAGGGUAGAUUGAAUCAAACUGAAUAGCCCGCCGGGGGGGGCCCGGUGGGGUUGGGAGGAAAUCAAACUGAACAAAUUUGGUUCGUAUUUUUGGACAAAUUGAAGUAGUUCAGUUCAUCAGUCUCGGACCUUUUUUUUUUUUUUUUUU